This 83-nucleotide transfer RNA is filed under the name Schistocephalus solidus. It matches the Rfam family "tRNA". Rfam says of the family: Transfer RNA (tRNA) molecules are approximately 80 nucleotides in length. Their secondary structure includes four short double-helical elements and three loops (D, anti-codon, and T loops). The record is from Rfam by way of RNAcentral. Lineage: Eukaryota; Metazoa; Platyhelminthes; Cestoda; Diphyllobothriidea; Diphyllobothriidae.
GGCCUCGUAGCCCAGGUGGCAACAGCGUUGGCUGUACUUAAGCCUUCCCCUUGCUGGCGUGGGUUCGAAUCCCACCGAUGUCA